This 440-nucleotide ribosomal RNA is filed under the name uncultured bacterium. RNAcentral's name for it is "bacterial SSU rRNA". It matches the Rfam family "Bacterial small subunit ribosomal RNA", at positions 355 to 786 of the family's 1533-position model. The record is from RNAcentral.
UAGGGAAUUUUCGUCAAUGGGCGCAAGCCUGAACGAGCGAUGCCGCGUGAGUGAAGAAGGCCUUCGGGUCGUAAAGCUCUGUUGCGGGGGAAAAAAGGCAGCAUCAGGAAAUGGGUGCUGACUGAUGGUGCUCCGCCAGAAAGUCACGGCUAACUACGUGCCAGCAGCCGCGGUAAUACGUAGGUGGCGAGCGUUAUCCGGAAUGAUUGGGCGUAAAGGGUGCGCAGGCGGUCCUGCAAGUCUGGAGUGAAACGCAUGAGCUCAACUCAUGCAUGGCUUUGGAAACUGGAGGACUGGAGAGCAGGAGAGGGCGGUGGAACUCCAUGUGUAGCGGUAAAAUGCGUAGAUAUAUGGAAGAACACCAGUGGCGAAGGCGGCCGCCUGGCCUGUUGCUGACGCUGAGGCACGAAAGGCGUGGGGAGCAAAUAGGAUUAGAUACC